This 37-nucleotide small nucleolar RNA is filed under the name Brugia malayi. Its description in RNAcentral is "snoRNA Bm16876". The record is from RNAcentral. Lineage: Eukaryota; Metazoa; Nematoda; Chromadorea; Rhabditida; Onchocercidae.
UUUUCAUCUUUGAUCAUUAUCGAGAUGAAAUCAUCAG